GAGUGCGGCCAUGGAGGCGGGGAUCACCCGAUCCCGUUCCGAACUCGGAAGUUAAGCCCGCCCUCGCCGAAAGUACUGCAGGGGAAGCCUGCGGGAGGAUAGGUCGCCGCACUCG
RNAcentral lists this ribosomal RNA (115 nucleotides) under Eggerthellaceae bacterium. The record is from RNAcentral. Lineage: Bacteria; Bacillati; Actinomycetota; Coriobacteriia; Eggerthellales; Eggerthellaceae.